This 402-nucleotide ribosomal RNA is filed under the name uncultured bacterium. Its description in RNAcentral is "partial 16S ribosomal RNA". It matches the Rfam family "Bacterial small subunit ribosomal RNA", at positions 355 to 774 of the family's 1533-position model. The record is from RNAcentral.
UAGGGAAUAUUGGACAAUGGGCGAAAGCCUGAUCCAGCCAUGCCGCAUGAGUGAAGAAGGCCUUUGGGUUGUAAAGCUCUUUUAGUGAGGAAGAUAAUGACGGUACUCACAGAAGAAGUCCUGGCUAACUCCGUGCCAGCAGCCGCGGUAAUACGGAGAGGGCUAGCGUUAUUCGGAAUUAUUGGGCGUAAAGGGCGCGUAGGCUGGUUAAUAAGUUAAAAGUGAAAUCCCGAGGCUUAACCUUGGAAUUGCUUUUAAAACUAUUAAUCUAGAGAUUGAAAGAGGAUAGAGGAAUUCCUGAUGUAGAGGUAAAAUUCGUAAAUAGUAGGAGGAACACCAGUGGCGAAGGCGUCUAUCUGGUUCAAAUCUGACGCUGAAGCGCGAAGGCGUGGGGAGCAAACA